RNAcentral lists this long non-coding RNA (304 nucleotides) under Carica papaya (papaya). RNAcentral describes it as "long non-coding RNA (CPAP_LNC007527)". The record is from RNAcentral. Lineage: Eukaryota; Viridiplantae; Streptophyta; Magnoliopsida; Brassicales; Caricaceae.
UCUCUCCGUCGCCGGCACUCUCUCUGGUGUUCGACGUCGUUUCUUCUCCUAUCAACUGUGUCGGCUAGGGUUUUGGGAGGACUAAAGAGAGGUUUAAAUUCCUCUCUCCAUUUAAUCUUGGUCGUCCGAUUGGGCUAAUGUGGUGCAAUGGGAGCCAUCCGAUUAGGGCCACUUAAGGGAAACCUGGUUUUUCCUCCCCUGUGCGAUCCUAACCGUUGGAUCAACUAGCCCCUCAAAUCUUAAUUGUUGAUCGUGCGGGCCGUUGGAUCGAUGCAUGGUUCAUUAAAGUCGUUCGUUCAAAUUC